AAAACUUCAAACGUUGAAUUGAAGGUCACACAAUACUGUAAAGGUAGGUGGUUGCUAUGCUAAAAUUCAAACCCAAACUCCAAAUAUUGUCGAAUUUAUAGUCAAAUUACAAAGAUAAAAGAUGGGUUUCGUGCAAAAUUAACCAUGAAAAUGGCUUGAAGCAUUCAUGAAUCAUGAGACCAUUACCAGGAAGUAAAGCACCAAAAUUAAGCAUUCAGCAAAAGAUAGCUUACUAUAAAUGGCUAAAGCAUCCGUUAAGAGACCACACUCUAAGUCUGAAAACCAACACAAAACAAGGGUUCUUUUACUUUUAUUCACAAACUUCCUAGUUCACAUACAAAGUUUGCUCCUAGGCCAUUGCAUCUCCACUCAAUGUAUUAUUCCGCUCAC
This 390-nucleotide long non-coding RNA is filed under the name Gossypium raimondii (Peruvian cotton). RNAcentral describes it as "long non-coding RNA (GRAI_LNC002168)". The record is from RNAcentral. Lineage: Eukaryota; Viridiplantae; Streptophyta; Magnoliopsida; Malvales; Malvaceae.